UAGGCCAGUCAAUAGGGAAUAGGGUUUAUAACAAGUUCCGUUAUAUCUUUCACACCUCUCUCUCAAAACCUACCAGCCGUCUAGCCUCUCCCAGAUCAAGCUUCUACAAUGGCCUUUGCCAAGGCGCAGAAAAGCAGGGCUUACUUCAAGAGGUUUCAAGUCAAGUUUAAGAGAAGGCGAGCUGGGAAGACUGACUACAGGGCUAGGAUUCGCCUGAUUAAUCAGGACAAGAACAA
Populus euphratica (Euphrates poplar) is the source of this 236-nucleotide long non-coding RNA. RefSeq lists it as uncharacterized. Lineage: Eukaryota; Viridiplantae; Streptophyta; Magnoliopsida; Malpighiales; Salicaceae. The record is from RefSeq and is a predicted model, not a curated record. The transcript is spliced from 3 exons.